GCCCGGGUAGCUCAGGUAGCAGAGCAGGAGACUCUUAAUCUCAGGGUCGUGGGUUUGAACCCCACGUUGGGCC
Molecule: transfer RNA, 73 nt
Filed under: Nomascus leucogenys (northern white-cheeked gibbon)
Lineage: Eukaryota; Metazoa; Chordata; Mammalia; Primates; Hylobatidae
Rfam family: tRNA
About the family: Transfer RNA (tRNA) molecules are approximately 80 nucleotides in length. Their secondary structure includes four short double-helical elements and three loops (D, anti-codon, and T loops). Further hydrogen bonds mediate the characteristic L-shaped molecular structure. tRNAs have two regions of fundamental functional importance: the anti-codon, which is responsible for specific mRNA codon recognition, and the 3' end, to which the tRNAs corresponding amino acid is attached (by aminoacyl-tRNA synthetases). tRNAs cope with the degeneracy of the genetic code in two manners: having more than one tRNA (with a specific anti-codon) for a particular amino acid; and 'wobble' base-pairing, i.e. permitting non-standard base-pairing at the 3rd anti-codon position.
Source: Rfam by way of RNAcentral